RNAcentral lists this long non-coding RNA (832 nucleotides) under Gossypium barbadense (sea-island cotton). RNAcentral describes it as "long non-coding RNA (GBAR_LNC018117)". Lineage: Eukaryota; Viridiplantae; Streptophyta; Magnoliopsida; Malvales; Malvaceae. The record is from RNAcentral.
UUCCUUUCUUUUUUUCUUUUUUCUCUCAAGCCCUCCUUUAGCCGACCAUGAGGCCAUCGUAGCUCCGCCGCGGCCACUGGUCAUUGGUAACGACGACCGCCACCUCCGGUGGCCAGAAAAUCGAAAAAGUUCCCCCCGAGCCCCUUUUCUUGCGUAGAUUGUGAAUCUGGUGAUAGAUCCUCCGAAAACCUAGUUAAAGUUGGACGGAAAGCCGAGAAACCUUUCGAUUUCUCUUUUUCGAUGUGGCCAUUGACGAACCCUAAGAGGUUUAGAAACCUUUCAGAGCGGAGGAGGGCCUUGCAGUGGCAAUGAACGGGUAAGAUUUAAACUCUUAUUUUAUUUUCUUAUAUUUUUCGAAAUAAAAAGCAAAAAAAAAGAGAGAAGAUGAACAACCUUAGUUUUUUUUCUUAACUUUGUUUUUUUUUAUUUUGUAUUAGAUUUUUUCUCUUUUCCCCUAUUACAUGUGGUUGUUGUGGCUUUUAUAUCCAAAUACAUUACAAAAUAUUCAUUUUUUUGUUUUCUUUUUUGUUGUUUCUUCUGUUUUUGCGUUCUGUCCUUUGCUUCUUUUUUUAAAAUUUUUUUUUACAGGUGUUUGUGCCAAGGUCAACGACACUGCGGAGCUACGCUUUGCCAUUUCAGUGAAAGGAGGGGGCAGACCUCGGGUGGCGUGCCUACUGACAUGGUGAAGGAGCGACGCCAAAGCUUUUAGGGUUCUAGGAUUUUCUUUUUUUGUUUAGGCUUUAGGCUAUUGGGUUGGUGUUUUUGGGCUUCUGUCAAUGGACUUUGUUAUUGUUUUUUGUUGUUUUGUUUAUUGGGCCGAACGAAAUUGGGC